CCCAAAUGGGGCUUUGUGAAAAGCAUGCCUGAGAAAAAGCAUGAGAAGUAAUUCAUGCCAACUUUGAUCCAGGGCUCUGGGAUGCUGGGACAACAGAGGAAGGUGCUGGAUGCAUCAGAAAAAAUUUCCAUCGAUUAUUGGACUCUACGUUCUCUGGAUGAUUGGACGUGAAGUGGCUGCUGUCUCCACUGUAAUACUGGUAAAGGAGGAAUUUCCAUUUAUCACAUGCUCUUCUGCCUGGGAACCAAUAUACAGUAUUGAUUCCAAGAUUAAAGGUAAGGGUUCUUUAAAAAAAAAAGUGUUUCAUAU
Molecule: long non-coding RNA, 309 nt
Filed under: Monodelphis domestica (gray short-tailed opossum)
Lineage: Eukaryota; Metazoa; Chordata; Mammalia; Didelphimorphia; Didelphidae
Description: lncRNA (ENSMODG00000050009.1)
Source: RNAcentral